GACGAACGCUGGCGGCGUGCUUAACACAUGCAAGUCGAACGGAAAGGCCUGCUUUUGUGGGGUGCUCGAGUGGCGAACGGGUGAGUAACACGUGAGUAACCUGCCCUUGACUUUGGGAUAACUUCAGGAAACUGGGGCUAAUACCGGAUAGGAGCUCCUGCUGCAUGGUGGGGGUUGGAAAGUUUCGGCGGUUGGGGAUGGACUCGCGGCUUAUCAGCUUGUUGGUGGGGUAGUGGCUUACCAAGGCUUUGACGGGUAGCCGGCCUGAGAGGGUGACCGGCCACAUUGGGACUGAGAUACGGCCCAGACUCCUACGGGAGGCAGCAGUGGGGAAUAUGGCACAAUGGGCGGAAGCCUGAUGCAGCAACGCCGCGUGCGGGAUGACGGCCUUCGGGUUGUAAACCGCUUUCGCCUGUGACGAAGCGUGAGUGACGGUAAUGGGUAAAGAAGCACCGGCUAACUACGUG
Molecule: ribosomal RNA, 467 nt
Filed under: uncultured bacterium
Lineage: Bacteria
Description: partial 16S ribosomal RNA
Rfam family: Bacterial small subunit ribosomal RNA
Source: RNAcentral